RNAcentral lists this ribosomal RNA (515 nucleotides) under uncultured bacterium. RNAcentral's name for it is "partial 16S ribosomal RNA". It matches the Rfam family "Bacterial small subunit ribosomal RNA", at positions 28 to 523 of the family's 1533-position model. The record is from RNAcentral.
GAUGAACGCUGGCGGCGUGCCUAAUACAUGCAAGUCGAGCGAAUGGAUUAAGAGCUUGCUCUUAUGAAGUUAGCGGCGGACGGGUGAGUAACACGUGGGUAACCUGCCCAUAAGACUGGGAUAACUCCGGGAAACCGGGGCUAAUACCGGAUAAUAUUUUGAACUGCAUGGGUCAAAAUUGAAAGGCGGCUUCGGCUGUCAUUUAUGGAUGGACCCGCGUCGCAUUAGCUAGUUGGUGGGGUAACGGCUCACCAAGGCAACGAUGCGUAGCCGACCGGAGAGGGUGAUCGGCCACACUGGGACUGAGACACGGCCCAGACUCCUACGGGAGGCAGCAGUAGGGAAUCUUCCGCAAUGGACGAAAGUCUGACGGAGCAACGCCGCGUGAGUGAUGAAGGCUUUCGGGUCGUAAAACUCUGUUGUUAGGGAAGAACAAGUGCUAGUUGAAUAAGCUGGCACCUUGACGGUACCUAACCAGAAAGCCACGGCUAACUACGUGCCAGCCGCCGCAGUAA